UUAUCCUCUAAUCACCUUAACCAUGGUUAACUACAUGGGUUUAUAAAUUAUAUUAUCUUCUAACUCUAAUUCUUUUCUUUUUCCUUUCCCUCUUUUUCUAAACAAAAUACUCAAACCUAACAAAUUUAGGACUCCUCAUAUUUUGAGGAGCAUCUCUAGUGUCGGUGUUAUCAACUCAAAGUCAUAUUCACGUCGGAUCCAUUCACGUCUGGGUUCUUCCUCCUUCUCAUAUCUCUUCCCUUUUGGUUUCUCUUGUAAGUAUGAAGCUCUGUUAAUCUUUCAUGUUUUUGUUCUUCUCCUUCUGGUAAUUGUGAAUUUCUGAUAAAGUCUAUUGAUCAGAACCCAUCGUCUUAUGCAUAGCAGUGGACUGUGAGGUUGAAUCACUUUCAUGAUCAUGUCUUGUGAGGUUACAAUCUGACAAGGUAUAUAUGAUGCUAUCAAUUUUUUUUCAUGAAUAAGCCAAUUUCCCUCUCAUUGAAUUUAAGAUGCAUCAGUUUGGCUUUGGCAGUUCUCAUGAAUGAGCCAAUUUCCCUUUCCUGAAUGCUACUGCAAAUUUUAAUAUGUACUUAGUGUUAUUAU
This 579-nucleotide long non-coding RNA is filed under the name Fragaria vesca (wild strawberry). RNAcentral describes it as "long non-coding RNA (FVES_LNC000127)". Lineage: Eukaryota; Viridiplantae; Streptophyta; Magnoliopsida; Rosales; Rosaceae. The record is from RNAcentral.